RNAcentral lists this long non-coding RNA (492 nucleotides) under Salvator merianae (Argentine black and white tegu). RNAcentral describes it as "lncRNA (ENSSMRG00000015956.1)". Lineage: Eukaryota; Metazoa; Chordata; Lepidosauria; Squamata; Teiidae. The record is from RNAcentral.
CGAUUGCCAUCGCAACGGGCGCUCGACAUCACUGGGCAGAACAGGUAGCUCUUGCCAGCACAGGAAACUCUAGAACGUUUGGGAGGUGCGGCGAUUUCGGACCUAGGAAGGUUCUGUUCUUGCUUAAACGAAGGUAGAAAGAGNACCCAACUUCUCCUUCCGCGACUGUAUUUUGUCACGCAGACCCUUCGCCUUUGGCAAGUGGUAUGUACCGAUCGGCCAGCAGAGGGCGCCCAGAGUGAAAAGCCAUGGGCAGCUCAGUAGGGAAGGGCAGAGUAACCCUGCAGCCAACUCCGGCCAGCCAACUGCGACAGACGAGAGCUGAAACUGUGCCCUCUACAGGAAAAAAGAGAGAAGCUGCAGAUAAUAAAGGAGAUUGGCGAGUAAUCAUCCAAACUCUCAUAAAUGAAAAUAAUGUUAUGAUCUUCAGCAAUUCAACUUGCAACUUCAGUACUCAGGUCAAGGAUCUGUUCAAGUCCAUGGGUGUUCCAU